GGCUUUAUAGCCUAGUGGUAUCUUGGUAGUUAGAUAAAACUUUGGACCAAUAGGUCCUGAGUUCGAUUCUCACAAAAGGGG
Molecule: transfer RNA, 81 nt
Filed under: Helianthus annuus (common sunflower)
Lineage: Eukaryota; Viridiplantae; Streptophyta; Magnoliopsida; Asterales; Asteraceae
Description: tRNA HanXRQr2_Chr16g0755141
Source: RNAcentral